This is a non-coding RNA of Ramaria rubella, 91 nucleotides long. Lineage: Eukaryota; Fungi; Basidiomycota; Agaricomycetes; Gomphales; Gomphaceae. The record is from the annotation of a GenBank genome assembly.
GGCUUGGUAGUCUAGUGGUCUAUGAUUCCCGCUUUGGGUUAUACUUGUAUGGCAUUGCGGGGGGUCCCGAGUUCAACUCUCGGCCAAGCCC